Molecule: unclassified non-coding RNA, 195 nt
Filed under: plant metagenome
Description: partial contains small subunit ribosomal RNA and internal transcribed spacer 1
Rfam family: Eukaryotic small subunit ribosomal RNA (bases 1-46)
Source: RNAcentral
AAGUCGUAACAAGGUCUCCGUAGGUGAACCUGCGGAGGGAUCAUUACCGAGCGAGGGCCUCCGGGUCCGACCUCUCAACCCCAUGUCACCCGACACUGUUGCCUCGGGGGCGACCCGGCCCUCCGGCGUCGGGGCCCCGGUGGACCAUCAAACACUGUAUCUGUGUGUCCGAGUAUAAUGAUGAAUCAAUCAAAA